GACGAACGCUGGCGGCGUGCUUAACACAUGCAAGUCGAACGGAAAGGCCCUGCUUUUGUGGGGUGCUCGAGUGGCGAACGGGUGAGUAACACGUGAGUAACCUGCCCUUGACUUUGGGAUAACUUCAGGAAACUGGGGCUAAUACCGGAUAGGAGCUCCUUCUGCAUGGUGGGGGUUGGAAAGUUUCGGCGGUUGGGGAUGGACUCGCGGCUUAUCAGCUUGUUGGUGGGGUAGUGGCUUACCAAGGCUUUGACGGGUAGCCGGCCUGAGAGGGUGACCGGCCACAUUGGGACUGAGAUACGGCCCAGACUCCUACGGGAGGCAGCAGUGGGGAAUAUUGCACAAUGGGCGGAAGCCUGAUGCAGCAACGCCGCGUGCGGGAUGACGGCCUUCGGGUUGUAAACCGCUUUCGCCUGUGACGAAGAGUGAGUGACGGUAAUGGGUAAAGAAGCACCGGCUAACUACGUG
Molecule: ribosomal RNA, 468 nt
Filed under: uncultured bacterium
Lineage: Bacteria
Description: partial 16S ribosomal RNA
Rfam family: Bacterial small subunit ribosomal RNA
Source: RNAcentral